RNAcentral lists this ribosomal RNA (233 nucleotides) under uncultured bacterium. RNAcentral's name for it is "partial 16S ribosomal RNA". It matches the Rfam family "Bacterial small subunit ribosomal RNA", at positions 328 to 538 of the family's 1533-position model. The record is from RNAcentral.
ACGCUCGACACCUACGGGAGCAGCAGUAGGGAAUUUUCGGCAAUGGGCGAAAGCCUGACCGAGCAACGCCGCGUGAAGGAAGAAGUCAUUCGUGAUGUAAACUUCUGUUAUAAAGGAAGAACGGCGCCUGUAGGGAAUGACAGGCGAGUGACGGUACUUUAUGAGGAAGCCACGGCUAACUACGUGCCAGCAGCUGACGGUAAUUCGUGGAGGGCCGGGCGUGGACGAACGGC